GUGUCAGCAGCCGCGGUAAUACGUAGGGCGCAAGCGUUGUCCGGAAUUAUUGGGCGUAAAGAGCUCGUAGGCGGUCUGUCGCGUCCGUUGUGAAAACUCGAGGCUCAACCUCGGGCUUGCAGUGGAUACGGGCAGACUAGAGUGCGGUAGGGGAGACUGGAAUUCCUGGUGUAGCGGUGGAAUGCGCAGAUAUCAGGAGGAACACCGAUGGCGAAGGCAGGUCUCUGGGCCGCAACUGACGCUGAGGAGCGAAAGCAUGGGGAGCGAACAGGAUUAGAUACCCGAGUAGUCC
RNAcentral lists this ribosomal RNA (292 nucleotides) under uncultured bacterium. RNAcentral describes it as "partial 16S ribosomal RNA". It matches the Rfam family "Bacterial small subunit ribosomal RNA", at positions 505 to 796 of the family's 1533-position model. The record is from RNAcentral.